UGCAGUCGAGCGGAUGAAGGGAGCUUGCUCCUGGAUUCAGCGGCGGACGGGUGAGUAAUGCCUAGGAAUCUGCCUGGUAGUGGGGGAUAACGUCCGGAAACGGGCGCUAAUACCGCAUACGUCCUGAGGGAGAAAGUGGGGGAUCUUCGGACCUCACGCUAUCAGAUGAGCCUAGGUCGGAUUAGCUAGUUGGUGGGGUAAAGGCCUACCAAGGCGACGAUCCGUAACUGGUCUGAGAGGAUGAUCAGUCACACUGGAACUGAGACACGGUCCAGACUCCUACGGGAGGCAGCAGUGGGGAAUAUUGGACAAUGGGCGAAAGCCUGAUCCAGCCAUGCCGCGUGUGUGAAGAAGGUCUUCGGAUUGUAAAGCACUUUAAGUUGGGAGGAAGGGCAGUAAGUUAAUACCUUGCUGUUUUGACGUUACCAACAGAAUAAGCACCGGCUAACUUCGUGCCAGCAGCCGCGGUAAUACGAAGGGUGCAAGCGUUAAUCGGAAUUACUGGGCGUAAAGCGCGCGUAGGUGGUUCAGCAAGUUGGAUGUGAAAUCCCCGGGCUCAACCUGGGAACUGCAUCCAAAACUACUGAGCUAGAGUACGGUAGAGGGUGGUGGAAUUUCCUGUGUAGCGGUGAAAUGCGUAGAUAUAGGAAGGAACACCAGUGGCGAAGGCGACCACCUGGACUGAUACUGACACUGAGGUGCGAAAGCGUGGGGAGCAAACAGGAUUAGAUACCCUGAUAGUCCACGCCGUAAACGAUGUCGA
This 763-nucleotide ribosomal RNA is filed under the name Pseudomonas aeruginosa. RNAcentral describes it as "bacterial SSU rRNA". It matches the Rfam family "Bacterial small subunit ribosomal RNA", at positions 56 to 815 of the family's 1533-position model. The record is from RNAcentral. Lineage: Bacteria; Pseudomonadati; Pseudomonadota; Gammaproteobacteria; Pseudomonadales; Pseudomonadaceae.